Molecule: long non-coding RNA, 893 nt
Organism: Oxyura jamaicensis (ruddy duck)
Lineage: Eukaryota; Metazoa; Chordata; Aves; Anseriformes; Anatidae
Exons: 2
Source: RefSeq, a predicted model, not a curated record
UAUUUACUACUUUUUAAUUUCUGCACAAUAAAAUCAGAGGGGGACAUUACAAUAGAUCAUUCUAUUUCUCUUAACAGCAUAGCAAUGAGUUACAGGACGUUUGGUAAAUUAACAAAACAAUUAGAAAGUCAUGACAGAAAAGUAGGAAUCAGGAAACUGCCUUUGGAAAUUAAAAAGAACUUGGAGCCAUGGUCUUCAAGGGGUUGAAAAGAAAUCCCAACAGCCCUGACUUACAGGAAGCUGUCCACAGGUGAAAAUCCAGCUCUUAACAGUAACCCACCAGCACUGUCUGGGACUGAACCUGGACAGUUGGAACCAGCCUGCUCCUUUCAUAACGUAAGGAAGCAAUAGCCAGCAUUUCUGUUAGCUGUGAGGAUCCCCUGGGAUUUGUCAUUUGGUGCUCUGACAAAUGGGUAGAAGUCAGAAGGUUUUCCCUGUUUUUUUAAGCCAACAUAACAAGGGCUGUGUGGUGCUCUUGUAGGGAUUUAGAAACAAACUUUCUUACAGUGCCAGAUGUUCUCCUUUUGAUAAUGCAGUCCUUUUAUCCAGCACUUAAAAGGACUCUGCGGUCUCAAAACCUAGACAGUUGUUGCAAGUCCACAAAGCCAGCGAAGCUGCCAACACCGUCAGAUGGUGGCGAACCCGUUCCAAAUGCAUUUGACUCUCCAAGGGAGGGAGCUGAAUGCAGCUGGGAGGCUCAGCCCCACCACCCCAGGGAUCCUCCCGGUGCAGCAGCCUCCGGAGCAGAAAGAACAAGAAGCUCCAAAAGCCUGCAGGUCUCAAUGCAAUCCUUCUGGACUUUUGGACUCCGCUGACGAGGCCAGAACUGGACCCUGUGGUUUCCUCCAGCUGAAUGGAGUCACGGCUGCUCCCGCUCCCGGCACCGAGCGAGG